This 249-nucleotide small RNA is filed under the name Tepidibacillus fermentans. RNAcentral describes it as "BsrG". It matches the Rfam family "BsrG". Rfam says of the family: bsrE, bsrG and bsrH pair through intermolecular interactions with antisense sRNAs. SR4 interaction with the 3'UTR of bsrG RNA promotes bsrG degradation and inhibits its translation. The record is from Rfam by way of RNAcentral. Lineage: Bacteria; Bacillati; Bacillota; Bacilli; Caryophanales; Bacillaceae.
UGCAAUAGAUUCGGCUAUCAAGGGUGGUCGGCACAUCUCCUAAGAGAGGAGGUGAUGCCGUGGAAGUAAAGGAUGCUUUGACAUUGAUGUUCAUGUUUGGUAUGUUCAUCCUUUCCUUGCUUUCCUACUUAAAAAAGAAGUAAGACCUCCCUUGAGCUUGGAGGCCAGGAGGUCUUACUUCUUGCCUUUAUUAUUAGUAGCCGACUGCCAUUGAGGCAAUCUGUUGUACUGGCCGCAGUUAUUCUGCGG